This 71-nucleotide transfer RNA is filed under the name Halobacteriales archaeon SW_6_65_15. Its description in RNAcentral is "tRNA-Gly". It matches the Rfam family "tRNA". Rfam says of the family: Transfer RNA (tRNA) molecules are approximately 80 nucleotides in length. The record is from RNAcentral. Lineage: Archaea; Methanobacteriati; Methanobacteriota; Halobacteria; Halobacteriales.
GCGCUGGUAGUGUAGCGGCAUCACGCGACCGUUCCACGGUCGUGACAGGGGUUCAAAUCCUCUCCAGCGCA